This 254-nucleotide unclassified non-coding RNA is filed under the name uncultured bacterium. RNAcentral's name for it is "contains 16S-23S intergenic spacer region". It matches the Rfam family "Bacterial small subunit ribosomal RNA", at positions 524 to 776 of the family's 1533-position model. The record is from RNAcentral.
GACGUAGGGUGCAAGCGUUGUCCGGAGUUACUGGGCGUAAAGGGCGCGUAGGCGGCCGGCCAGGUCGACUGUCAAAGCCCCGGGCUCAACCCGGGAAUGGCAGCCGAUACCGGCCGGCUCGAGGACGGUAGAGGGAGGUGGAACUCCCGGUGUAGGGGUGAAAUCCGAUGAGCUCGGGAAGAACACCGAACGGCGAAGGCAGCCUCCUGGACCGAUCCUGACGCUGAGGCGCGAAAGCCUGGGGAGCAAACCGG